AGAGUUUGAUCCUGGCUCAGGACGAACGCUGGCGGCGUGGAUUAGGCAUGCAAGUCGAACGGUAGAGAGAUUUCGGUCUCUUGAGAGUGGCGAACGGGUGAGUAACACGUAGGUUAUCUACCCUCAAAUUGGGGACAACCCAGGGAAACUUGGGCUAAUACCGAAUGAGUGCAUCAGUGAUGGUGCAUAAAAGAUGGCGUAAGCUGUUGUUUGAGGAUGAGCCUGCGCUCUAUUAGUUAGUUGGUGAGGUAACGGCUCACCAAGGCGAUGAUAGAUAGGCGGCCUUAACGGGUGGUCGCCCACACUGGGAUUGAGAUACGGCCCAGACUCCUACGGGAGGCAGCAGUCGAGAAUAGUCUACAAUGGACGAAAGUCUGAUAGUGCGACGCCGCGUGAACGAAGAAUCCCUUCGGGGUGUAAAGUUCUUUUAUAUGUGAGCAAUGCUUCCUAGGUGAAUAGUUUAGGGAGAGAGAUAUUAGCAUAUGAAUAAGCAACGGCUAACUCCGUGCCAGCAGCCGCGGUAACACGGGGGUUGCUAGCGUUGUCCGGAAUUACUAGGCGUAAAGGGCAGGUAGGCGGAUAGAUAAGUUUGAUGUUAAAGGCGACGGCUUACCCGUCGUAAGGCAUUAGAUACUGUUUAUCUGGAAUGCGGUUGGGGAAGACAGAAUUCCUGGUGUAGCGGUGGAAUGCGCAGAGAUCAGGAGGAAUACCAAAGGCGAAGGCAGUCUUCUAAGCCGUUAUUGACGCUAAACUGCGAAGGUGUGGGUAUCAAACAGGAUUAGAUACCCUGGUAGUCCACACAGUAAACGAUAAUCACUAGGUGUCGGGUUCGAAGAGGAUUCGGUGCCGUAGCUAACGCGAUAAGUGAUUCGCCUGGGGAGUACGAUCGCAAGGUUGAAACUCAAAGGAAUUGACGG
Molecule: ribosomal RNA, 917 nt
Filed under: uncultured bacterium
Lineage: Bacteria
Description: bacterial SSU rRNA
Rfam family: Bacterial small subunit ribosomal RNA
Source: RNAcentral